This 372-nucleotide ribosomal RNA is filed under the name uncultured bacterium. RNAcentral's name for it is "partial 16S ribosomal RNA". It matches the Rfam family "Bacterial small subunit ribosomal RNA", at positions 355 to 719 of the family's 1533-position model. The record is from RNAcentral.
UGGGGAAUAUUGCACAAUGGGCGCAAGCCUGAUGCAGCCAUGCCGCGUGUAUGAAGAAGGCCUUCGGGUUGUAAAGUACUUUCAGCGGGGAGGAAGGCGAUAAGGUUAAUAACCUUGUCGAUUGACGUUACCCGCAGAAGAAGCACCGGCUAACUCCGUGCCAGCAGCCGCGGUAAUACGGAGGGUGCAAGCGUUAAUCGGAAUUACUGGGCGUAAAGCGCACGCAGGCGGUCUGUCAAGUCGGAUGUGAAAUCCCCGGGCUCAACCUGGGAACUGCAUUCGAAACUGGCAGGCUAGAGUCUUGUAGAGGGGGGUAGAAUUCCAGGUGUCGCGGUGAAAUGCGUAGAUAUCUGGAGGAAUACCGGUGGCGAA